RNAcentral lists this ribosomal RNA (506 nucleotides) under uncultured bacterium. RNAcentral's name for it is "partial 16S ribosomal RNA". It matches the Rfam family "Bacterial small subunit ribosomal RNA", at positions 28 to 523 of the family's 1533-position model. The record is from RNAcentral.
GAUGAACGCUAGCUACAGGCUUAACACAUGCAAGUCGAGGGGUAACAAGAGAAAAGCUUGCUUUUCUUGUUGACGACCGGCGCACGGGUGAGUAACGCGUAUCCAACCUGCCUAUAACUAGGGAAUAACCUUGAGAAAGUAAGACUAAUACCCUAUGAUUUCCUUUUAUGACAUCAGAUUAGGAAUAAAGAUUUAUCGGUUAUAGAUUGGGAUGAGUCUGAUUAGCUUGUUGGCGGGGUAACGGCCCACCAAGGCAACGAUCAGUAGGGGUUCCGAGAGGAAGGUCCCCCACAUUGGAACUGAGACACGGUCCAAACUCCUACGGGAGGCAGCAGUGAGGAAAAUUGGUCAAUGGGCGGAAGCCUGAACCAGCCAAGUAGCGUGCAGGAUGACGGCCCUAUGGGUUGUAACCUGCUUUUAUACAGGAAUAAAGUUAGCCACGUGUGGUUAUUUGUAGGUACUGUAUGAAUAAGGACCGGCUAAUUCCGUGCCAGCAGCCGCCGUAA